Molecule: long non-coding RNA, 494 nt
Filed under: Dromaius novaehollandiae (emu)
Lineage: Eukaryota; Metazoa; Chordata; Aves; Casuariiformes; Dromaiidae
Description: lncRNA (ENSDNVG00000011767.1)
Source: RNAcentral
CGGCUUCCUCCCCGCGCUCUGAGCCCAGCGGCAGCAGCUGCUGCAGAUCCUUAUCCCGCCUGGCUCCUUCUGGGCUCUGUUUGCACAGCCUAAAGGGGAGCUCCUUGGUCUGAGAGAAGAGAUGCAUGUCUGGGACCGCAUCCCACCGUCRCAGGCAGUGACAGCCGGCGCUGCUGCUCUCUGCAGGCUAUUGCCCAGGUGCCAAAGCCCAGAUGUGGAAUAUGACGCUGGACAAAGACGCAUGAUGGGGGCACACAGGAUUGUUCACGCAGAAAACACRUAAUCCCUCUGGGAUCCCGUCCUCUGUGAGUGUUGCUCUCUAAUCUCAGUGUCCUGGCUSUUGGGCAGUAGCUUUUAACUCUGCAAGUAGGAAGGAAAUGAGGGCUCUCCCUCUCCACACACCGUCACUGGGUUCAGCUCUUUAGCCCUAGAUACCUGCUCUUGCAGGCAGACUGUCCUGACACUGCUCUUCCCGAGAUGAAGGCUUCCUGCGG